RNAcentral lists this transfer RNA (73 nucleotides) under Ailuropoda melanoleuca (giant panda). It matches the Rfam family "tRNA". From Rfam's summary of the family: Transfer RNA (tRNA) molecules are approximately 80 nucleotides in length. Lineage: Eukaryota; Metazoa; Chordata; Mammalia; Carnivora; Ursidae. The record is from Rfam by way of RNAcentral.
ACCUGGCUGGCUCAGUUGGUAGAGCAUGCAAGUCUUGAUCUCAAGGUUGUGAGUUUGAGUCCCACACUGGGUA